UGUCCUGCCGAAGCAAGGAUCAGGUACUAAAAUUGGAAUGAUACAGAGAAGAUUAGCAUGGCCCCUGCGAUGACACGCAAAUUUGUAAAGAGUUCUGAAAUCAC
Small nuclear RNA from Rana temporaria (common frog), 104 nucleotides. NCBI's taxonomy places the organism in Eukaryota, Metazoa, Chordata, Amphibia, Anura, Ranidae. The record is from RefSeq and is a predicted model, not a curated record.